CACGUAGUUAGCCGGGCUUUCUUCUCAGGUACCGUCACUCCGUUAGCAGUUACUCUAACGGACGUUCUUCCCUGGCAACAGAGCUUUACGAUCCGAAAACCUUCAUCACUCACGCGGCGUUGCUCCGUCAGACUUUCGUCCAUUGCGGAAGAUUCCCUACUGCUGCCUCCCGUAGGAGUCUGGGCCGUGUCUCAGUCCCAGUGUGGCCGUUCACCCUCUCAGGUCGGCUACGCAUCGUCGCCUUGGUGAGCCGUUACCCCACCAACUAGCUAAUGCGCCGCAGGCCCAUCCGUAAGUGACAGAUUGCUCCGCCUUUCCCAAGUCCCUCAUGCGAGAGACUUGCGUAUCCGGUAUUAGCUACCGUUUCCGGUAGUUAUCCCAGUCUUACGGGCAGGUUGCCUACGUGUUACCUCACCCGUCCGCCGCUAAGUUCAUCAGGAGCAAGCUCCCGAUGAACUCCGCUCGACUUGCAUGUAUUAGGCACGCCGCCAGCGUCGUCUCGUAGUCACGGAC
This 513-nucleotide ribosomal RNA is filed under the name uncultured Paenibacillus sp. RNAcentral's name for it is "partial 16S ribosomal RNA". Lineage: Bacteria; Bacillati; Bacillota; Bacilli; Caryophanales; Paenibacillaceae. The record is from RNAcentral.